This 254-nucleotide ribosomal RNA is filed under the name uncultured bacterium. RNAcentral describes it as "partial 16S ribosomal RNA". It matches the Rfam family "Bacterial small subunit ribosomal RNA", at positions 524 to 776 of the family's 1533-position model. The record is from RNAcentral.
UACAGAGGUCUCAAGCGUUGUUCGGAUUCAUUUGGGCGUAAAGGGUGCGUAGGUGGCGCGCUAAGUCGGGUGUGAAAUUUCGGAGCUUAACUCCGAAACUGCAUUCGAUACUGGCGUGCUUGAGGACUGGAGAGGAGACUGGAAUUCAUGGUGUAGCAGUGAAAUGCGUAGAGAUCAUGAGGAAGACCAGUGGCGAAGGCGGGUCUCUGGACAGUUCCUGACACUGAGGCACGAAGGCCAGGGGAGCAAACGGG